GACGAACGCUGGCGGCGUGCCUAAUACAUGCAAGUCGAGCGCAGGAAACUGACGGAACUCUUCGGAGGGAAGGCAGCGGAAUGAGCGGCGGACGGGUGAGUAACACGUAAGGAACCUGCCUCAAGGAUUGGGAUAACUCCGAGAAAUCGGAGCUAAUACCGGAUAGUUCAUCGGACCGCAUGGUCCGUUGAUGAAAGGCGCUUCGGCCUCACCUUGCGAUGGCCUUGCGGUGCAUUAGCUAGUUGGUGGGGUAACGGCCCACCAAGGCGACGAUGCAUAGCCGACCUGAGAGGGUGAUCGGCCACACUGGGACUGAGACACGGCCCAGACUCCUACGGGAGGCAGCAGUAGGGAAUCUUCCACAAUGGACGAAAGUCUGAUGGAGCAACGCCGCGUGAGUGACGAAGGUUUUCGGAUCGUAAAACUCUGUUGUAAGGGAAGAACAAGUACGUUAGGAAAUGAACGUACCUUGACGGUACCUUAUUAGAAAGCCACGGCUAACUACGUGCCAGCCGCCGCAGUAA
RNAcentral lists this ribosomal RNA (524 nucleotides) under uncultured bacterium. Its description in RNAcentral is "partial 16S ribosomal RNA". It matches the Rfam family "Bacterial small subunit ribosomal RNA", at positions 28 to 523 of the family's 1533-position model. The record is from RNAcentral.